GGCCUUGCGCUCUUUGAGCGGCCGAUGUCAGAUUAGCUUGGUGAGGUAAAGGCUUACCAAGGCGACGAUCUGUAGCGGGUCUGAGAGGAUGAUCCGCCACACUGGAACUGAGACACGGUCCAGACUCCUACGGGAGGCAGCAGUGGGGAAUUUUGGACAAUGGGGGCAACCCUGAUCCAGCCAUGCCGCGUGAGUGAAGAAGGCCUUCGGGUUGUAAAGCUCUUUCGGCCGGGAAGAAAUCGCAUGGGCCAAUACCCUGUGUGGAUGACGGUACCGGAAUAAGAAGCACCGGCUAACUACGUGCCAGCAGCCGCGGUAAUACGUAGGGUGCGAGCGUUAAUCGGAAUUACUGGGCGUAAAGCGUGCGCAGGCGGUUUUGUAAGACAGGCGUGAAAUCCCCGGGCUCAACCUGGGAACUGCGUUUGUGACUGCAAGGCUAGAGUACGGCAGAGGGGGGUGGAAUUCCACGUGUAGCAGUGAAAUGCGUAGAGAUGUGGAGGAACACCAAUGGCGAAGGCAGCCCCCUGGGUCGAUACUGACGCUCAUGCACGAAAGCGUGGGUAGCAAACAGGAUUAGAUACCCUGGUAGUCCACGCCCUAAACUAUGUCAACUAGGUGUUGGGUGGGUAAAACCAUUUAGUACCGUAGCUAACGCGUGAAGUUGACCGCCUGGGGAGUACGGCCGCAAGGUUAAAACUCAAAGGAAUUGACGGGGACCCGCACAAGCGGUGGAUGAUGUGGAUUAAUUCGAUGCAACGCGAAAAACCUUACCUACCCUUGACAUGCCAGGAACUUGCCAGAGAUGGCUUGGUGCCCGAAAGGGAGCCUGGACACAGGUGCUGCAUGGCUGUCGUCAGCUCGUGUCGUGAGAUGUUGGGUUAAGUCCCGCAACGAGCGCAACCCUUGUCGUUAAUUGCCAUCAUUUAGUUGGGCACUUUAACGAGACUGCCGGUGACAAACCGGAGGAAGGUGGGGAUGACGUCAAGUCCUCAUGGCCCUUAUGGGUAGGGCUUCACACGUCAUACAAUGGUCGGUACAAAGGGUUGCCAAGCCGCGAGGCGGAGCCAAUCCCAGAAAGCCGAUCGUAGUCCGGAUUGCAGGCUGCAACUCGCUUGCAUGAAGUCGGAAUCGCUAGUAAUCGUGGAUCAGCAUGUCACGGUGAAUACGUUCCCGGGUCUUGUACACACCGCCCGUCACACCAUGGGAGCGGGUUCCGCCAGAAGUAGGUAGCCUAACCGCAAGGGGGGCGCUUACCACGGCGGGGUUCGUGACUGGGGUGAAGUCGUAACAAGGUA
RNAcentral lists this ribosomal RNA (1295 nucleotides) under metagenome. Its description in RNAcentral is "bacterial SSU rRNA". It matches the Rfam family "Bacterial small subunit ribosomal RNA", at positions 209 to 1498 of the family's 1533-position model. The record is from RNAcentral.